CACCGGCAGCUCUAGUGGUAGCUGUUUUUAUUGGGCCUAAAGCGUUCGUAGCCGGUUUGAUAAGUCUCUGGUGAAAUCCUGUAGCUUAACUGUGGGAAUUGCUGGUGAUACUGUUGAACUUGAGGUCGGGAGAGGUUAGCGGUACUCCCAGGGUAGAGGUGAAAUUCUGUAAUCCUGGGAGGACCACCUGUGGCGAAGGCGGCUAACUGGAACGAACCUGACGGUGAGGGACGAAAGCUAGGGGCGCGAACCGG
This 254-nucleotide ribosomal RNA is filed under the name uncultured bacterium. Its description in RNAcentral is "partial 16S ribosomal RNA". It matches the Rfam family "Archaeal small subunit ribosomal RNA", at positions 474 to 727 of the family's 1478-position model. The record is from RNAcentral.